Molecule: long non-coding RNA, 672 nt
Filed under: Zostera marina
Lineage: Eukaryota; Viridiplantae; Streptophyta; Magnoliopsida; Alismatales; Zosteraceae
Description: long non-coding RNA (ZMAR_LNC003240)
Source: RNAcentral
CCUGUAAUAUUUUGGUCUCUGGGUAAAAAUGUAAAAUAUAAAAAAAUUGCAUUCUUUUCCCAAUAAAAUGAUAAUUAGUAAAUCCAGAUCAUUUUGUAAUCCAGCAUAAGGAUCAUUUUGUAAUUUAAAGAAAUAAAGAUACGGGAUUUCGAAUUUUCUCAUUUGCUCCUCCUCCUCCUCCCUCUUCUAUUGUUACUGUUUUUGUCGGAACGCAAUACUCCUUUUUUUUCUUUCUUCUUCUUCUUCUUCUUCUUUACGCAUCGCCCAGAAUCGUAGUCGACGGAGCUAGAUUAAUUGGGAAGCAAAGAAGAGGAAGCUAUUCGCCCAAACGGUUCCAACGGGGAACAAUCGGUGCGAGUUGGACUCGACGGAAGAAAAAUAAGUAAUCGUGACUUCUUUUCUUCGGUUCAUGACUAGUUGGGAAUUAUUUUUUCGAUUCUUGGAGUUGACCAAUAUCCAACAACUGAGUUUCUUUAGUUUGUUAUUUAGAUUGAGUAUUGUGGAGAUGUGGAUGACGGUAACCUGAGCUGAUGAAAACGGGCCAAAACGAUAAUAGGAGGAGGAGAAAGAGGGAUAAAAUCCGAUGGAGUAAGAUCUAUGCUUCCGAUGGAGUAAUGAGAAGAAAUCGCCAAACCCUAGCUAAUUCUUAUGAAAGGGAGAAUAAGAAAUAAG